AAGUCUUGUCGACAAGGCGCCAA
This 23-nucleotide non-coding RNA is filed under the name Arabidopsis thaliana (thale cress). Lineage: Eukaryota; Viridiplantae; Streptophyta; Magnoliopsida; Brassicales; Brassicaceae. The record is from RNAcentral.